This 87-nucleotide non-coding RNA is filed under the name Eubacterium sp. CAG:180. RNAcentral's name for it is "Bacterial small subunit ribosomal RNA". It matches the Rfam family "Bacterial small subunit ribosomal RNA", at positions 1447 to 1533 of the family's 1533-position model. Lineage: Bacteria; Bacillati; Bacillota; Clostridia; Eubacteriales; Eubacteriaceae. The record is from Rfam by way of RNAcentral.
AGGGAGCUGCCGAAGGUGGGAUAAGCGACUGGGGUGAAGUCGUAACAAGGUAGCCGUAGGAGAACCUGCGGCUGGAUCACCUCCUUU